Non-coding RNA from Oryzias latipes (Japanese medaka), 1230 nucleotides. NCBI's taxonomy places the organism in Eukaryota, Metazoa, Chordata, Actinopteri, Beloniformes, Adrianichthyidae. The record is from RefSeq and is a predicted model, not a curated record.
GCAGCACUGGAGACUGUGACGAAUAUAGCCAUUUCUGCGAUUGUGUGUUGUGUGUGCAGAUGUAUAAUAAGGCAACAGAUUAGUGGGAGAUGAUAGAUCUGUCAUGCGAUGCAAAUAUCGUAGACCAGAGGAAGAGUGACUCAGUUUAAGAGUGGAAGCGAGGAGAAAGAAAAGAUUGCCAAAAGGCAAGACGGGGGACUAUAAAACAGGAGGUGAGAGGAAGGAAGAGAAGGGAAAAGAAGACUGACUUGGAGUCAUUUGAGAGACUUUUUUGUCUCUGCAAGAAAAUCUUUAAAGUUGGUGCUAAGAAUCUUUUGAACAGAAAUGGCAAAUAUAGGAGGAGUUUUCUUGACUUCACUCUUGUUCCUGAGAGCCAGUGUUCCGUGUUUUUCUUUGUAUAACAGCGGCGAAUGCUUCUUUAACACCAAAGGGAUCUGUGAACACAAGGGACAAGUGUAUGAGAUCGGAGAAAGAUGGAUCACCAGUGACUGCUACCAGUGUGUUUGCAUGGAACCCUUUGGAGUGGGAUGCUGUGACCAAGGAUCUACGCCCAUUGAUCAUCCAGAUUGGUGCGAGGUGAUUCGCAAACCUGACUCUUGCAUCAGCGUUGCCGUGAUGAGAAUCAACCAUAAACUGCCCUGCCUGUGGGGACGUGGACACUUCAGAACGGCUGGAGCACCAUGGAUGUCUGAAAAUGAUCCUUUGUUCUAAUUAAUACAAAAAUACAACCCUUAAAGAUAUUUAACAAUUAAAAGCCAUACUUAUCCUUUAUUUAUUUUUGUGAAAAGGUAAACUUUUUAACAAUUUAAGAAAAAAACUUGUGUCUGUUCUACUUUAUCUACUUGAACAAACAUUUGAGCUUUAGGAUGUUACUGUUCAUGUUAGUUAUCUGUUAAUAGUUUUAAUAAAAACAUCUGUUGCAACAUUUAUCAAUAGCAAGAAUUGCAUUCUUUUUGGGUAGAAAUCUUGUUGUAACAACUUGAGAGAUAAUUUGAGUUUUUCCAAAGAUCUUCAAUGAAAAAAAAAAGAAAUUUGUGGUGGCUAAUCAGUGUGGGAAAAUUGUCAUCUUAUGUCUUUAUCAAACACUUCUUAAGUCUCUGACCACAAGUUUAGUUAGCAUUUGUGAUGUAAAAAUACUCCGGUGUGUGUUCUUGAAAAUCUUCAAGAGUUCUGCUGUUGAUUGUUUUUAGUUAUCUAAUUAAUUUUCAUUAAACAACCUCUAAUCACAUC